GUGACCUCAGAUCAGGUAGGGAUACCCGCUGAACUUAAGCAUAUCAAUAAGCGGAGGAAAAGAAACCAACAGGGAUUGCCCUAGUAACGGCGAGUGAAGCGGCAAAAGCUCAGAUUUGAAAUCUGUCGCCAUUUUGGCGGCCGAGUUGUAGUCUGUAGAGGUGUAUUCGAGUGUGGCUUUGGCUUAAGUUCCUUGGAACAGGGCGUCAUAGAGGGUGAGAACCCCGUUAACGGCCUUUGUCUUAUGCUCAUGUGAAUCUCCUUCAACGAGUCGAGUUGUUUGGGAAUGCAGCUCUAAAUGGGUGGUAAAUUCCAUCUAAAGCUAAAUACUGGCAAGAGACCGAUAGCGCACAAGUAGAGUGAUCGAAAGAUGAAAAGAACUCUGAACAGAGAGUUAAAUAGUACGUGAAAUUGUUGAAAGGGAAGCACUUCCGACCAGACGCACUUGCAGCCGAUCAAUCUUCAUUCUUGAGGGUGCACUCGGUUGUCUGUGGGUCAGCAUCAGUUAUGGCGGUGGGAAAAAGACUAAGGGAAUGUGGCUCCUUUCGGGGAGUGUUAUAGCCUUUGGUGCAAUGCUGCCUGCUGUGACUGAGGACCGCGCUUCGUGAGGA
Molecule: ribosomal RNA, 610 nt
Filed under: Legaliana badia
Lineage: Eukaryota; Fungi; Ascomycota; Pezizomycetes; Pezizales; Pezizaceae
Description: partial 28S ribosomal RNA
Rfam family: Eukaryotic large subunit ribosomal RNA
Source: RNAcentral